Molecule: ribosomal RNA, 460 nt
Filed under: uncultured bacterium
Lineage: Bacteria
Description: partial 16S ribosomal RNA
Rfam family: Bacterial small subunit ribosomal RNA
Source: RNAcentral
CCUACGGGGAGCAGCAGUGAGGAAUAUUGGUCAAUGGACGAGAGUCUGAACCAGCCAAGUAGCGUGAAGGAUGACUGCCCUAUGGGUUGUAAACUUCUUUUAUAUGGGAAUAAAACGUUCCACGUGUGGGAUUUUGUAUGUACCCUAUGAAUAAGGAUCGGCUAACUCCGUGCCAGCAGCCGCGGUAAUACGGAGGAUCCGAGCGUUAUCCGGAUUUAUUGGGUUUAAAGGGAGCGUAGGUGGAUUGUUAAGUCAGUUGUGAAAGUUUGCGGCUCAACCGUAAAAUUGCAGUUGAAACUGGCAGUCUUGAGUACAGUAGAGGUGGGCGGAAUUCGUGGUGUAGCGGUGAAAUGCUUAGAUAUCACGAAGAACUCCGAUUGCGAAGGCAGUUCACUGGACUGCAACUGACACUGAGGCUCGAAAGUGUGGGUAUCAAACAGGAUUAGAUACCCUUGUAGUC